GUUAGACAGACUGAUUAAGAAAACCAACACUUCAGGGAUACAAUAAAAAAGAUGCUGCCAUCACAUGGCUGAGUCCAUGGGUCUUUUCUGCGUGUAACAAUGAGAGGAAAUGAAUCACGGGGGCCGGGAGGGGCAGAGAUCUUGGAAAUCACCUUCGUUUUCAGUGGAAGGGAGUUAGGUUGUGCUUCCCCAAGGAGCACAACAAAUAUCUUCUGGAUUUCUUUUACAGAUUUUUAUAACUUUUAAUAAUUCCUAUUGUGGAGGCCAUGUCUAAACUAGAGAAAGUAUAAUACUCUCCAGAGACCUAAUGAAAUGAAAUAAUGCACACACAGAGAGUGCUUCACACAGUUCCUAGCACACAAUACUGUGUUAAGUGCUGGAGGCACAAAGAUAAAGAAGACUUACAUCUCUGUUCUCAAGUCGGGGUGACAAAUACAGAAACAGAAUUAUAACUCAGUGUGCUUCUGAACCAGUUUUCCAUUACAGCAGCCAAGAAG
This is a non-coding RNA of Ceratotherium simum simum (southern white rhinoceros), 497 nucleotides long. Lineage: Eukaryota; Metazoa; Chordata; Mammalia; Perissodactyla; Rhinocerotidae. The record is from RefSeq and is a predicted model, not a curated record.